RNAcentral lists this long non-coding RNA (6771 nucleotides) under Panax ginseng (ginseng). RNAcentral's name for it is "long non-coding RNA (PGIN_LNC007303)". Lineage: Eukaryota; Viridiplantae; Streptophyta; Magnoliopsida; Apiales; Araliaceae. The record is from RNAcentral.
UCAUCAACACAUCCAACCACCAAAACAUCAAGCUAAUCGCUACUAAUUUCAAGAAAUUUUGGCAGAGUUUCCUUUAAAAAUAGAUAUCCAGAAAAAUCUAAACCUGUUUACAAAACUUACAAUCAUCCAUACAUAUCCAAACCACCAAAAAAACCGUCAUUCCAUACCCAAAAUCAUCAUAACCAAGUAUAAUUAGCUAACUUUACAAAAGGCAGAACACAAAAAAUACAUACAUACAGAAAAUAGAGAAACAACAUGUUGAGCAUAAGACCCUCUACUUUACAGCUUACACCAAGUAUAUUCUUUACAGCUUUCAUCAUGUAUCCUUCAAUAUAUACCUAAAAAUAUUUGAAAUUUAAAAAUUAUCAAAAUAUGUUAGUUAAAAUAAAACAAUUAUAAAUCUGAAACAUAAGACCCCUUACUUUACCUUGAGUUAUCUAAAAAACAAAUGAGCACACAUAUUUGUAUGUAGGGGGAAUGAUUUAGAUUGAUAUAAGUAAAAAUUUAGAGAGAUUGUAAGAAAUAGUCAAAUUUUUAAGGAAAAGAUACGGACUUACAAUCAAAUAAAGUUUUCUUAGUACUAUCUCUAGGAACGGUUCAUUUGCUUAAUGAUUUAAAUCAUAAAUUUGUAUUGGUGGCAGUAUAAUGGUGUGCGAGUUUGAUUUCUGUGUGUUUGUGCAUGUAUUAUGUGUGUUGUGUGUUGUGUGUCUGCAUAAGAAGUAGAGAAAUGUAGUCUUAGUAAGAGAGAUUUUCACACUAAUGUUUUCAAUUAGUUUGGUCAGUGGUAGGUUAGUAAUCAUCAAAGGUGGACAUAUCAGUACUGAAUUACAUAUCAUUUAACUCUCUUAAAUGUCUUUUUCAUCCCUUUAAACCUUCUCUUCAUCAAUAUCCUUAAUGUCCUCGUAUCAAUACGAACACACUUUGCCCAAUGAGGAGAAUGCACAAUCACCUAUAUUAAAUUAAAAUUCUUUAUUUACAUAAACAAUAAAACUAACACUAUUUAUAUUAUAAGAAUAGUAAAGUUAUUUUGAUGCAGUGACAUAAAAGUAGAUUUACCUGAUUACGUCGACCCCAUCCACAAAGGUAUAUUGUAUAUAUUUUAUUGUUCUCGUUGACAAAUUUACUCCAAUCCUACAAAGAAUGAACGUCAUUGUAAAAUUAAAAGUUGAAAUGUUGAAAAGAUUACAUAAUUUAGUAGAAAUAAACAUGUUUAAACCAUACCAUUUAAUUGUCAUAAGAAUAUAUCAUAAUAAAACUUCUGGGUAAACAAUAUUUGUGGUGCAGUUCGACCCAUCUUUCGGAAGGAGGACAGUAAUACGAUCCGCAGAUGUGCAUCUAGAUAGUGCCACAUAAAGGUGUCCAUGACUAAAAACAGGUGUUCGCAAAUCAAUCCCAACGAACUUGACAGAUUGUCCUUGGACUUUAUUGAUUGUCAUAGCAUAAGUUAAUCGGAUAGGAAACUGACGUCUUGUCAUUCGAAAAGGUAAGUCCAAAGAUGUUGGUGUCAAUGAUAUUCUCGGAAUGAAGACUAAAUUGCCAAUUUUAUCUCCAUUUAAUAUCCGAGCUUCGAUUACCCUUGAGGCACAUCUAACAACCAUCAAUCACGUGCCAUUACAAAGUCCAUCUUUCGGUGCAAUAUUUCAUAACAACAUUAUUGGACAUCCAACUUUCAACUCCAAUUUAAACGGUGGCAACCCUGAAGGAUUUAAGGAGUUUAAGUACUCGUUAGGAUAUCGAUUCCUAAUGGUAUGAUCAAGCUCAUCACCUUCAGACAUUUUAUCUGUAGCUAAAAAAGUAAUUGUUUCUCCCGGAGUAAUAUUCAGUGUUGCAACAUUUAUAUCACUGACGUCGUCAUUGCGAGCAGAUAGAAUUGUUCGUUCAGUGAGAAAGGUAGGAGUCAUUAUACCAAUCACAUCCAAUUGUGGAUAGAUUUUAAAUAUCAAUUCAUUUAGAUUAUGACAUCGAUUUAUUGUAGAUGGAAGUUGCACAAUUUCUUGUGGGUUGGUCCCAAUCUAAAAAAUGAAAGUAUAAUUAUUCACAAAAUGAGAUUUAAUUCAAAGUAUCAUGUUAUAAAAAAUCAAUGUAAUGUUGAAUGAAAUAUUACCUCCAUCAAGAAUUGAGCAAAAUUAAUAUUUAACGUCUGUGCUAGUUAAUCGAAUGUUUGAACCCAGAGUCAAAACACAUAUAUCUUUCCAUAGAAAAGACCGUCUCAAUGAUGCACCCACAAUUUGCUCGCGAACGCAUUUAGGAAUAACAGGCAAUAUUUGUUGAAAGUCUCCACCUAGGACAACAGUGAUACCUCCAAAAGGUCUUUUAUCGUCUCUGAUAUCUUGAAGGGUGCGAUCGACUACCUCAACACAAUAUCGAUGUUGCAUAGGAACUUCAUCCCAUAUUAUUAGCUUUGUUUUUCUAAACAACUCGGCAUGCAUUGAUUGUUUAGUGAACCCACAUAUUGAAUUAUCUAGGGUUUCCAAAGGAAUACAAAAUGUAGAAUGUGCAGUGCGCCCCCCUACCAAUAACAACGAUGCAAUACCAGAAGAAGCCACAGUAACAACAACAUGUCCAUAGCUACGCAAUUUGGUUGCAAUGGUAUUGUACAAAAACGUUUUUCCCGUCCCAGCACCUCCACUCAAAAAGAAAGUAGUUGCUAUGUUUUCACAUACUGACGUUGUGAUAGGAGUAUAAGCAGCAAGUUGUUCAUCAUUAAGUCUGUCAACAUUAAUUUGUGCAUCAGACUGUUGUGCUUCAUUCUCAAGUUGUUGGUGCUCAGACAGUAAUCUAUUUCCUACUAUUGCAUUACAAUUUCCAGUUGGUUGUGGCAUGAGUGGAAAGUCAACUAAACUCUUCCCCGAAUCAUGGAGUAAUUGAUUUUAUCAAAUAUAAGCCAUAAUCUUCAAUAUGAUCAUCAGUUGGAUUCAAAAUACCAAACAUAGUACGAAUCCUGUGUGCUAAAUCAUCACAUAUAUGUGCUGAGAAUUGCUUCCACAAUUCAAAUGGAUGCAACGGAAAACAUUCCGUUAGAAUUAUAACAAAUAGUCUCCUUAAUUGGUAUCCCGUUCUCAUAAUUGCAGCCUCUUGGAGACAUUGUAUCCAUUCUUCAUCAUCUUCAAGAAGUCCUCUUGAAACACAUGCUGACUUGAAUGUAUCAUGCAUAACGUUAUUUACCGUGCGUAGCCAGUCAAAUGAAGUAGGUCCUCUAACAACAGUUAAAAGCAAACGCAAAUAAAACCGCUCACCUGAAUUAGGGCUAGCAAAGUACAUUCUACCAAUUGCAUAACCCCUAUGUCUUGGAAUCCAUUUAUUGAUAGACUUGUUCCAAACAAAUUUUCCUGGAAAUUCCUGAUAAGUUAAUACACGGGAAGAUUCAUUUAUAGCGCAACAAUCAAAAAAGCCAGUUAGAGUUAUUUUUUGAUGUGCACCUCUAGAAAGGAUCAUAUCAAAAGAUUCAGCAGGGUUAAAGACUACACGAUGUAUCCUAGGCAAAUGAAGUGCCAAUCUUACAACUGAAGGAAUCUCUUCAUGUAAAGGAUUACCAAACAAUCGCCACGCGGCUUCUGGAGGUCCAAUAUACCUAGCAUCAAGAUAUUGUUGGAUCUCAUUAAUUCCUCCAAGUACCAUUGUUGCGCGAUCAUGUCCUUUAUAAAUAUACUUGUGAAUGUAUUUUACACAUCUAACUCCUGCACAAACCUCAACAUUGAUAUGACAAUUGAACAUUCUUGAUAAAUACGAAUUAUGUGGCACAACGUCUCUAUUAUCAAUUUCUUGCCCCCUCACGAUGUACUUCUGACCAGUAUUAUGACGACGAUAGACAGGAUAUCCAUCAGAGUCCAUAAUUGUUGAUUCAACAAAUGAUCGAGGGUACCGCUUGGUACACACCCCAUUUUCCAUACAUGGUGCUUGUGGAUUUCAAGCACCACAUGGUCCGUGUACCAUGCAACCUAUAAUUGUUUCAAAAAGCAAUGGGUCAGUUUGGCAAUCCGAAAAUUCAGCACACACUACUCUGUCCACUUGAGCACAUGUUUGAAUUUUAUUAGAACCAUGAAGGAACAAAAGUGCAUGCAUGUGCGGUAACCCCCUUUUUUGGAAUUCAAUUGUAAAAACAUGUGCCACUUUUCUACCAAAGACGUUGUUUGUUUCUAUCUCCUUCAUCAAAAAAUUCCGCUUCAACUCAAAAACACGGGCCACUAAAUCAGGACGGUCAGUAGGGAUCUGAUUUGGCAAUAGUGAUUUAGUAAUUUCAGGCCAUUUGGGAUUUGCAGUCAUAGUUAGAAAAAUAUCUAGGUGUUGAUUAUACCGCGUGAUAGCCAUUGAAUCUUGAAAAAAUUCAAACAUAUGUCUUGCACUACCAGUGAAUGAAGAUGGCAAAAUCAUUCGUUGACCAACUUGUUCAGGACCAAGCUCAUCUGCACAAACAUCUGUAAGACCUUGGUAAAGUUCUGCACGAAGCUUCGAUUGAUUCAACUUGUAGUAUGUCAACCGAUUUUGUUCAGUAGCGGCCCAAGCAUCUACUACAAAUUCUUGAAAUAGUUUUCCGGCUCUCAAAAUUGUUGAAUACUCAGUGUCACGUUGGAACAUACGAUAACUGUAAUAUUGCAAUUGUGUCAGUCGAGUAGAUGAAGGUCCACCUUGGGAAGCGUUCCACUGUUUCAAAUCUGGAUUCCAUCCUAGCUCACCAUAAGGGAACAAUACCACAUAAUGCAAUGGCAAAUAGGCCGGAUGACACUCAUUAAUUUGCAUCAAACCAUUAUCCCCUCUCAAAUGUAACAUAAUAUCUCUCAUUCCACUUGAUUCAGCUCCAUCUCCCGGCAAUAUUACCGCAAUCUCAUCGGUUGUUGGAAGAUUAUAUCGACGUCGGUCUGUUACUGAACUGUAGUGGAGAUAGGCCGGUAAAUUCACCCCCGUCAAUUCCAAUUCACUUAAAAUUGUGUGAGCCUGACGAAAUUUUACAGGAAAUGGAUUUACUUGCAAUAAACAAUCUUGUAUGGUUUUCAAAACAUCUCUUCUCAAGUUAGGAUUUUUGUUGCUGCGAACAUCUAAAGCUGAAUUAGGAUCAUAAAUGUACAGUUGAGAGUAAAUUGGUUUACACCCUGGUUGUGGCAUAAGCGAUCCUUUUCGAUGGCGUAAUUCCCCAUGGAUGGUGAAUGUUCUAGGCCCCCUCCCGGCAAUUAAUCUGUCAUCCAAUGUAGCACCAAGACUCGUAAACGCAUUAGCUGCAUUAUACUCUCGUGUGUGCUGACGAAACAAUUUUGAUUGUUCAUCAUUGCCGUCAUACAAUGCUUUAAGCAUUAAAGGAGGUGUAAUAAGUGGCGAUAAUCUAAUUUUUCCUUGUAAACAACAUUUACCAAAGAGAGGAUUUGAUACAGAUGAUUUUGUUAGUUUUUCAGCAAGCCAGUGUAAGGCAGAACAAUAAGGACAUGUUCGAUUCAUCAAGCCGAGGGAAUGACGAUCUGGAAUUUCAUGGUUUCGAGGAUUAAAUGCAACAUCCAUAGUAACACCUUCUACUGUGUAGGCACUACAGAUAAAAUUAUAGAUGUCAUAUAAUUUUUAAAAGGAGAACAUGAAUAAGACAGCAAGUGUAAGAAUAGAAAAUUAGAACUUAUAUCGAACACCUGGUGCCUUCAUUCGGAUUAUGCAUUUGUUGGAACAUGUUUAUCAUAUGUGAUGCCCUUGGGGAACGUGGGGAGAAUGGUUCCAAGUUUGUUGUUGUGCUUUUGUAUAGGUUUUGAGGUGGCAAGUCUUGGAGCACAGGCGAAAACCUUGAGAUAUUUGUUGGUGUGCCUUCUUCAAGAUUUUGAGGAGGAUUUUCUUGAUUCAUGAUGGCCACAGACAACCACCGUGAAACAAUUGUUGUAGUAUAUUCAUUAAGAGUUUGAAGCAAGGUAGUUGACGAUGACUCUAAAACAUUUGUUGUCACUAUACUGUCUAUUACAGGAUGUGAAAUUUUGGUAGACAAAGUACUUGGUUUAAGGCGGGACCUUUUAUUUGAUUCUCGUUCAAGGCAUGCUCGGCGAUGACGGCUUGGUGGUAAAGAAGGAAAAAAUCUAGGCUGGACGGGGAAACAAUAUUUUGAUCGCUCUCUUUCGCAACGUGCAAGUUAUCCCAAUUGACGUUUGGAGCACUCAUUUUCUUUCCCAGCAUAACACAUUUUUUGAGCAAGUCUUGCACAUUGUGGCAAUGUUGAUUUUUAUACAACAUUAUAGUUUGGUGCCUAAACCACAAACUCAUAAAAAAUUAAUUAUUAUUUUGUUGAUUUAACAUAUAUCGUAUCAUUUUGCACUUUGUAUAUAUAACAAUGUAUCAUGACAAUAAAAUGUUACAUUAUAAUUAACAUUAUAAUUAUCAUAAAGUUUUUGUGUGAUGCAAAAAUAAAACACCAUAGCCCUGCAUCCAACACAUUGUUCUAUAGUAAUACGCUCAAUCAAUAGCAUAUUGAAUUUAACAGCUUGAAAGAUAUUCUAUAAAUAAGAUCAAAACUACUUGGAAAGGUUGAGGUUUCACUAUUGAUCGAUGCUUCAAAUUAUGGAAUUUUUAAACAAAUUUAGAGUUUAAAAAAAUCGGACCCAACAAAAGAUACAAAGCAACAAAAUAACACAAAACUUAAAAUAUUUUAAAUUUAAUAACAUCCAAAUCCAUUGUAAAAAUAAAGAAAAAAUAAUAGGAUUAAAAGUGAUACCAGUUUGCAAUUUGUAUUUGUUGUUCUUUGGGUAGAGGAGGUUGAUUUGUGUUUCCCCUUAAAUUUAGCAUUCGCCAAAACAUCAGACUUUUUUUUUU